AUGGGCAUGUUGUUGUGUGUGAUUGUGGGUGAGUGUGGGCAUGUUGUUGUGUGUGAUUGUGGGUGAGUGUGGGCAUGUUGUUGUGUGUGAUUGUGGGUGAGUAUGGGCAUGUAGUUGUGUGUGAUUGUGGGUGAGUGUGGGCAUGUUGCUGUGUGUGAUUGUGGGUGAGUGUGGGCAUGUUGUUGUGGGUGAGUGUGGGCAUGUUGUUGUGUGUGAUUGUGGGUGAGUGUGGGCAUGUUGUUGUGUGUGAUUGUGGGUGAGUGUGGGCAUGUUGUUGUGUGUGAUGGUGGGUGAGUGUGGUCAUGUUCUUGUGGGUGAUUGUGUGUGAGUGUGGGCAUGUUGUUGUGUAUGAUUGUGGGUGAGUGUAGGCAUGGUGUUGUGUGUGAUUGUGGGUGAGCGUGGGCAUGUUGUUGUGUGAUUGUGGGUGAGUGUGGGCAUGUAGUUGUUUGUGAUUGUGGGUGAGUGUGGGCAUGUUGUUGUGUGUGAUUGUGGGUGAGUGUGGGCAUGUUGUUGUGUGUGAUUGUGGGUGAGUGUGGGCAUGUUGUUGUGUGUGAUUGUGGGAGAGUGUGGGCAUGUUGUUGUGGAUGAUUGUGGGUGAGUGUAGGCAUGUUGUUGUGUGUGAUUGUGGGUGAGUAUGGGCAUGUAGUUGUGUGUGAUUGUGGGUGAGUGUGGGCAUGUUGUUGCGUGUGAUUGUGGGUGAGUGUGGACAUGUUGUUGUGUGUGAUUGUGGGUGAGUGUGGGCAUGUUGUUGUGUGUGAUUGUGGGUGAGUGUGGACAUGUUGUUGCGUGUGAUUGUGGGUGAGUGUGGGCAUGUUGUUGUGGGUGAUUGUGGGUGAGUGUGGGCAUGUUGUUGCGUGUGAUUGUGGGUGAGUGUGGGCAUGUUGUUGUGUGUGAUUGUGGGUGAGUGUGGGCAUGUUGUUGUGGGUGAUUGUGGGUGAGUGUAGGCAUGUUGUUGUGUGUGAUUGUGGGUGAGUGUGGGCAUGUUGUUGUGUGUGAUUGUGGGUGAGUGUG
Molecule: long non-coding RNA, 1011 nt
Organism: Oncorhynchus tshawytscha (Chinook salmon)
Lineage: Eukaryota; Metazoa; Chordata; Actinopteri; Salmoniformes; Salmonidae
Source: Ensembl